GCACCCCAGCAAAGUAAGGCACUGCUAUUAUCCCCAUUUCACAGAUGAGGAACCGAGGCCCAGAUCCUUAAAACAAUGAAUAAGGAAUUGGAAUGGGACUCAAGAAACCUUCUAGUCCCAGCCCUGCCACUGGCCUGCUGAGUGACCUUGGGGAAAUCACUUUGCAUCUCCAUGUCUCCAUUUCUACACCCGUAAAAUGGAGCUAAUGACACAUACCUCCUUUGUAAAGGGCUUUGAGGUCUGCUGAUGAAAAGCACUAGGAAGACACUGUAAUGGUUACCCUCUCUUCACAACUGGAAGAUUUUUCAACUGGGCUUCAAAGUUCUUUUUAAAGUGAAAGCUGAGAUUCU
This is a long non-coding RNA of Mauremys reevesii (Reeves's turtle), 350 nucleotides long. RefSeq lists it as uncharacterized. The transcript has 3 exons. Lineage: Eukaryota; Metazoa; Chordata; Testudines; Geoemydidae. The record is from RefSeq and is a predicted model, not a curated record.